RNAcentral lists this ribosomal RNA (976 nucleotides) under Rossellomorea vietnamensis. Its description in RNAcentral is "bacterial SSU rRNA". It matches the Rfam family "Bacterial small subunit ribosomal RNA", at positions 57 to 1031 of the family's 1533-position model. Lineage: Bacteria; Bacillati; Bacillota; Bacilli; Caryophanales; Bacillaceae. The record is from RNAcentral.
GCAGUUCGAGCGGAUUGAUGGGAGCUCGCUCGCUGAUAAAGCGGCGGACGGGUGAGUAACACGUGGGGAACCUGCCUGUAAGACUGGGAUAACUCCGGGAAACCGGGGCUAAUACCGGAUAACUCAUUUCCUCGCAUGAGGAAAUGUUGAAAGAUGGCUUCGGCUAUCACUUACAGAUGGACCCGCGGCGCAUUAACUAGUUGGUGAGGUAACGGCUCACCAAAGCAACGAUGCGUAACCGACCUGAGAGGGUGAUCGGCCACACUGGGACUGAAACACGGCCCAAACUCCUACGGGAGGCAGCAGUAAGGAAUCUUCCGCAAUGGACGAAAGUCUGACGGAACAACGCCGCGUGAGUGAUGAAGGUUUUCGGAUCGUAAAGCUCUGUUGUUAAGGAAAAACAAGUGCCGUUCGAAUAAGGCGGCACCUUGACGGUACCUAACCAAAAAGCCACGGCUAACUACGUGCCAACAACCGCGGUAAUACGUAAGUGGCAAGCGUUGUCCGGAAUUAUUGGGCGUAAAGCGCGCGCAGGUUGUUCCUUAAAUCUGAUGUGAAAACCCACGGCUCAACCCUUGAAGGUCAUUUGAAACUUGGGAACUUUAAUUCAAAAAAAGAAAGUGGAAUUCCAAAUUUAACGGUGAAAUUCGUAAAUAUUUUGAAGAACACCAGUUGCCAAAGCGACUUUCUUGUCUGUAACUUACACUUAAGCGCCAAAACCUGGGGAACAAACAGCAUUAGAUACCCUGGUAAUCCACAACCCUAACGAUUAAUGCUAAUUUUAAGGGAUUUCCCCCCCUUAUUCUGCAGCUAACUCAUUAACACUCCCCCUCCCGAAUAGGUCGCAGGGCUUAACUCAAAAAAUUAAAGGACCCCCCCCAGCGUUUAACAUUUAGUUUAUUCCAACCACCCCAAAAACUUACCAGUCGUGGAUCGUCUACAACCCAGAAGUAUUCUUUUCCCUUCCGGGAAAGAG